Haliotis rubra (blacklip abalone) is the source of this 263-nucleotide long non-coding RNA. RefSeq lists it as uncharacterized. Lineage: Eukaryota; Metazoa; Mollusca; Gastropoda; Lepetellida; Haliotidae. The transcript has 3 exons. The record is from RefSeq and is a predicted model, not a curated record.
UUUUCAAGCGAUGAAUCUACUGGGUGAAUUACACUUCAGACAGGCCAAAAUUGAUUCGCAAGUCCGAAAAUUCUGUAAGCUGCGAUGGGGUACUUAGGUUUUUAUAUGACCCAGAGCUUGGACACAUAGAAGGCCAUGUUCAAGCGUCAAUGAAGGACAAAUCCUACCGAGUGCAGAUUGAACUAAAUGACCUCUAUGGGACGGACGUGACCAGGUGUGAUUGUCCAAUGGGUAAUUUCUAUUGCCACCAUGUCGCCGCUGUU